Long non-coding RNA from Nematostella vectensis (starlet sea anemone), 306 nucleotides. RefSeq lists it as uncharacterized. The transcript has 2 exons. The record is from RefSeq and is a predicted model, not a curated record. Lineage: Eukaryota; Metazoa; Cnidaria; Anthozoa; Actiniaria; Edwardsiidae.
CUCCGAGGUACCUGUUACCCCAGGGGAGGGGUACACCACAGUCCGUUGGUAGGGCAAGAGGCGUUGUCUGCCGUGUAUCAGAGUGCGUUGGUGAUUUAGCAAGAUGCUAGUGAGACGCACGAUAGAGUCCGCCAGGCUCCCACUGGCCCUCUUCCCUGCUAGCUGGCGUUCGCGAUGAAAGGAGUCUGCCUGCCCAGCGAAAUACAAAAAAAAAAAGAUAGUGCAAGCCAGGGAAUUGAACGUCUCGUACGUGACAGAACAUUAGGCUAAGGGUUUCGUAUAAACAAAGGUCCCAACUAGACCCUA